This 238-nucleotide ribosomal RNA is filed under the name uncultured Rhodocyclaceae bacterium. RNAcentral's name for it is "partial 16S ribosomal RNA". It matches the Rfam family "Bacterial small subunit ribosomal RNA", at positions 1144 to 1382 of the family's 1533-position model. The record is from RNAcentral. Lineage: Bacteria; Pseudomonadati; Pseudomonadota; Betaproteobacteria; Rhodocyclales; Rhodocyclaceae.
GGAGACUGCCGGUGACAAACCGGAGGAAGGUGGGGAUGACGUCAAGUCCUCAUGGCCCUAUGGGUAGGGCUUCACACGUCAUACAAUGGUCGGUACAGAGGGUUGCCAACCCGCGAGGGGGAGCUAAUCCCACAAAGCCGAUCGUAGUCCGGAUCGCAGUCUGCAACUCGACUGCGUGAAGUCGGAAUCGCUAGUAAUCGUGGAUCAGCAUGUCACGGUGAAUACGUUCCCGGGUCUU